UGAAUACGAGAUGCUACGGCGUCGAAGCAGUCUAUGUCAUACUUCCAAGAAAAGCUCGCACUGUCAUAAACAAAUAAUGCCUGUACCAUAACCGACACAGGUGGGUAGGUAGAGUAUACUAAGGGGCGCGAGAUAACUCUCUCUAAGGAACUCGGCAAAAUGACUCCGUAACUUCGGGAGAAGGAGUGCCUUAUUUAUAAGGUUGCAAUAACAAGAUCCAAGCAACUGUUUAUCAAAAACACAGGUCUCCGCUAAGUCGUAAGACGAUGUAUGGGGGCUGACGCCUGCCCAGUGCCAGAAGGUUAAAGAAGUUGGUUAGCAUUCGCGAAGCUGAUAACUGAAGCCCUGGUGAACGGCGGCCGUAACGAUAACGGUCCUAAGGUAGCGAAAUUCCUUGUCGGGUAAGUUCCGACCCGCACGAAAGGCGUAAUGAUUUGGAUACUGUCUCGGAGAGGGGCUCGGUGAAAUAGACUUGUCUGUGAAGAUGCGGACUACCUGCACCAGGACAGAAAGACCCUAUGAAGCUUUACUGUAACUUGAGAUUGAAAUUGGACUUUACUUGCGCAGUAUAGGUGGGAGGCGUUGAUAAUAUUCUUGCGGGAUUAUUUGAGCCAUCAGUGAGAUACCACUCUUGUAAUGUUAGAUUUCUAACUUUGUAUCAUUAUCUGGUCAAAGGACAGUUUCAGGCGGGCAGUUUGACUGGGGCGGUCGCCUCCUAAACGGUAACGGAGGCGCACAAAGGUUUCCUCUGAACGGGUAGAAAUCGUAUCUAGAGUGUAAAGGCAUAAGGAAGCUUGACUGUGAGACCUACAAGUCGAGCAGGGACGAAAGUCGGUCUUAGUGAUCUGACGGUGCUGAGUGGAAAGGCCGUCACUCAACGGAUAAAAGUUACUCUAGGAUAACAGGCUGAUCUCCCCCAAGAGUUCACAUCGACGGGGAGGUUUGGCACCUCGAUGUCGGCUCAUCGCAUCCUGGGGCGGUAGUACGUCCCAAGGGUUGGGCUGUUCGCCCAUGAAAGCGGUACGCGAGCUGGGUUCAGAACGUCGUGAGACAGUUCGGUCCAUAUCCGGUGUAGGCGUUAGAGUAUUGAGAGGAGCCUUCUUUAGUACGAGAGGACCGAGAAGGACAUACCUCUGGUGUACCAGUUAUCGUGCCAACGGUAAACGCUGGGUAGCUAUGUAUGGAGUGGAUAACCGCUGAAAGCAUCUAAGUGGGAAGCCCACCUCAAGAUAAGUAUUCU
This 1240-nucleotide ribosomal RNA is filed under the name metagenome. RNAcentral describes it as "bacterial LSU rRNA". It matches the Rfam family "Bacterial large subunit ribosomal RNA", at positions 1564 to 2814 of the family's 2925-position model. The record is from RNAcentral.